This 245-nucleotide unclassified non-coding RNA is filed under the name Hevea brasiliensis (rubber tree). The record is from RNAcentral. Lineage: Eukaryota; Viridiplantae; Streptophyta; Magnoliopsida; Malpighiales; Euphorbiaceae.
CGAACAUCCUUUGAGUUGUGCUUUCUGAGAGAAUUAACCGACUUUCCAAUCUCUGUGGCCUUUAAAGUCUCCACAGACAAAGCCAUUAGUUGAAGCCUUCUUAAGCACUCAAACAACUCUGCAGACUCAGCUUGGUUGUUAUCAAUGACAUCUUUGAUCCUCAUCACCUCCCCAAAAGUCUGAGUCUCUUCCUCCAUUUCCUCAGUUAAUGCCUCAGCUUCUCCAUAACUAUAAUUACUAACUUG